RNAcentral lists this unclassified non-coding RNA (256 nucleotides) under plant metagenome. RNAcentral's name for it is "partial contains small subunit ribosomal RNA, internal transcribed spacer 1, and 5.8S ribosomal RNA". The stretch from base 208 to 256 matches the Rfam family "5.8S ribosomal RNA", at positions 1 to 49 of the family's 154-position model. The record is from RNAcentral.
UUUCCGUAGGUGAACCUGCGGAAGGAUCAUUACCGAGUGAGGGCCCUCUGGGUCCAACCUCCCACCCGUGUUUAUCGUACCUUGUUGCUUCGGCGGGCCCGCCUCACGGCCGCCGGGGGGCACCCGCCCCCGGGCCCGCGCCCGCCGAAGACACCAUUGAACGCUGUCUGAAGAUUGCAGUCUGAGCAUCCUAGCUAAAUCAGUUAAAACUUUCAACAACGGAUCUCUUGGUUCCGACAUCGAUGAAGAACGCAGC